AGAGUUGUACACUCAAAGCAAAUCUGUGUGGGGAUGAAGAGUCAGGAUCCAAUGGCCAUCUGUUUUACCAACAGGAGAAAAGGAGCUCCCACACUGGCAAAACUUCAAAGGUUUGAGUGACAUCAGCAUCAUGGCGGAGUGAGCUGUUGCCUGAUAUUCUCCUGUCUGGUAUACAAAAGAGGAUAUUUAGAUACUAACAGAGGACAUUCACACAGCACAAAAGAUGUCUCAGAGAUGAAAGCAGCCACAUGUCUGAAGGUGGAGGUACUGGAUCCCUUGGAGGAAAGGGAAGGAGGUUUUAUAUUCCUAACUACUUUGGAGCCAGCAGAUAUGGAUUCAGAAGUGACACGGGAAUAAAAAAUCUCACAACCUAGUGGAGUUAUUGUCAUAAAUGGCAACAAGACAGAUGCUUUAAUGAAGGGUAGAAUUGGAUUAUUUCAAUAAAUUGAGGAUUCCUAGUCUCAUUUGCGGCACCAUGAGUGGAAAUGGACUCUUUGGAGAGAUCUUCUGUUACCUGGCAAAACACUUGUGCGGAAGCAGUUCCUGGUACGUCCCUGGAUUUCUAGGUAGGAUGAUGAUGGGAAACCUGCACAGGGCCUGGGCCCCCAAGGAGGGAAGAAAACAAAAUCUGUGUGUGAAGAUGGGAAAGCCAGUGAGACAGUUGUGGAAAUGUCCAGGGGACAGGAUCACUAACAUCAAGACUCAGCUGGAGCAAGUCCUUUAUCUUAAUGAGCCCUGGAAGAGGAUUUAGCUGUUCCUAUCUGGAUCUAGGAGCUACAGUGUUAACCAUCCAAGAACCGAAUGGAUACACAGCUUGGCCUUUACUUCUGGAUCCCAGAAGCUUUUUGUUUAGGUUUAUUGUUUUGAAUAAUAAUCCUGGAUCUUGUCACUGAAAUUUUAGAUUGUGAAGAUAUUUUAGAGAUUAACACAGAAGUAUAGAGAUUGUGUGAUGGAAUCCAAUAGGCCCAGUUUUAUUUCUGGUUCCAGUUCUGACUCCUUGGGCUAGUUAGUUAAUCUCUCUGAGCCUCAGUUUCCCCAGUUUCUACCUCACAGUGCUGUUGGGGAGAUCAAUGAAAUAAUGCAUGUUAGGAGCCAGUAUCUGGUGAAUAAAACCUAGUGGAUAUUAACAUUAUCAUCUUCAUUAUCAUUAUUGCCUGUUAAAAGUUUCAUUUUCAGCGAUUCAACUGAAGCAGCCAAGUCCUCCUGAUUCCAAACAGCCUAGAGAAGUGAGAGGACAUUGUUCCCAGAAGGAGGGAGAACAUCUUCGGGUCAAGAUGACAUUUCAAAUUUAGUUCUUGAUUCAUCUCAUGUUGGGACGAGUCGCUGGGCCAUUGCUAAUGUUUCCUUUCUGGCCUUUGCCCCGGCCCUCACAGGGAACUGGUCUAACGUUUAGAAGAGACUCAGGGUGGAAGGUUUGGUUGUGAUCCAGAAACACACAGCUCCUUAAAGCCAAGUUCCCAAGACAUUGCUCAGAGACAAAGUUUCACCAAGAGUAUCACCCAAACACCACAAGACAUCUGCUGGCUGAAAGUCCAUCCACUGUCUAAAGAGAAACAGGAAAAACAUCUGAAUUCUCUUGCGUUGGUACUAGCAACAACAAGAAGAAUUGCUAGUUGUCAAGCACUAACCUGUGGAAAUAAAAACCAUUCAAAUGAGAACAAGCAAAGGCUAUUUUCUCAGAGUUUGCUAUAGCAAGGGAGUCGGCCCCCAUCAUUUGCAGUUUGGCAGAGAUCCAGGCAGGCGGAGGACUGUAAAGCUUUAUAGUGGAGAGAAGGGAAGGAUCUGGAUGCCCCCUGAGUGGAGGCUGUGGCAUGGGGAAGCUGUAGGCGGGCUAACUAGAGGUGGACGUCCUAUGUGAUUGGUUAGGGGAGCACGUUUGGCUGUCACUGGUUGGUCCUAUGUUAGAAGCGGGACAAAAAUUAGGGAAGCUGCCAGUUAUUAAUUAAUCCCUGGCCAUUUGGGGCUGAUUGCUGCAGGGGUUAUUGUUUGGCUUUCUGGGCUGGUUGCUGGAGACAGUGGUCUGACUUCCUCCAAGUCUGAUUUGGAGAUAGCAGGCUGGCCUCCUGGGCUAGUCUGUAGAUAAUGGGUUGGUUUCCUGGGCUGGUUGCUGCAGACUGUGGGUCAGAGUUCUGUUUUAAUAUGUGAUCUGGCCAUUGUCCAUUUGUAUAUUCAGGCUCUUACGCUGUAUAUGUGGUACUGUGUUCACUGCUUUACACACGUCAACUUAUUGAAUACUUCCUUCUAUACAAACAGCACACUCUCCACAAUGUUCUGCACUGCUUGUUCUCCUGCACAGUGCACGCUGAAGAUCUUUCCGUAUCAAACAUAUAUUUUAAGUGCUAUAUUUUUAAAAUAGUGGCAUAAUAUUUCAUUGGAUAGAUGUACCAUUAUUUGUUUAACCACCCCCCAAACCCAACCUUGUUGCUAUUACAAAUUAGGGUGCAACACCUAUCCUUGUGGUGAUGACAGCUUGCAUGUACGGCAAUGGAUCUGUGGGAUACAUUCCUGGAAAUGGACUGCUGGGUAAAAGGGAAGUUGCAGGUCCUUCUAGUUUUGGGAUGUGGGACACUGCCUCAACGUGUCCUGACAAGCGUUGCCAUGUCCGAGCCAAGGAUCCAAACCCUGGGCCGCCGCAGUGGAGCGCGUGAACCUAACCGCUCGGCCACGGAGCCAGCCCCAGAAGAUUAUUUUUUAAUGAGUAGUAUGAUGACAUGGGAUUUUCAUCUCAGGUGCUGAGUCUAGCCCCAACCCCUUGUAAGUUGUGACUCUGCCUUUGUGUUUAUCACUACAUAUAGUGGUCAACACACUUGUUCACCAUGGUUCUGUUAGCAGAGAAGAACAGGAAACAUACAACAGUGUGUCUUUUGGGUAAUUACCCUGGAUCCCUCCCCAGCUACAUGGACCCACUGCUCUUCCUCUCUCCCCAAGACUCUUAGAUUUCUGGCUCUUCAGUAACUCGUUUUUGAUCCUUUUAUGUACACCUUCCCACUUUGCUUACAGUCCCAUUUCUGCUCUCAAUGUUGACAUUUUCUGCAGUCUUGGGUUAGAAACUCCUUUCUUAGCUUUAGUCCCAUGAAACUCUCCCUUUGAUCCCCAAGAGAAGAGCUUUCAGACCAAUAAAGGACUCCCUUAAGAGCACAGCAGAGUGCCUGAGAGAUCCAUACAUCUGUACAUCUGAAGGCUGGUGGACUAGGCUUCUGGGAGGCAGUGGAACUAGGAGAGGAGCUCCCUCCCCCCUUCCUGGCAGAGGCAAUCCAAAACGACGAUACCACUGGCAGGGGAAGUGACCGUCUGACCUGCGGUUUCUAAAAGUGCACUAGUACCGGGGACCAGAAGGCUACAGGGACAGCAAUUGUUGUCAUGUUGUGCUAUGUGGGACAUUGCCUCAGCGUGGCCUGAUGAGUGGUGCCAUGUCCAUGCCCAGGGUCCAAACAGCCCACCCCUCCCCUAGCAGUCUCAUGUGACACCUGUGACCUGAGGCUUCAGGAGCCACAGCAGUACCCAUGACGCUGACCCUACUAGCAGUGGGGGCUGCAUAUAAGACCCUAGGCCCCUUCCAGCAGCAGUGACACCCAUGAACCCAGCACAUCUGGCAGUGGUGCUCCCAGCAACCACAGUUAACCCCAGAGCAGCAGCACAGGUGGUAUACGUGGCAGCAGCACCUGAGCCUGUGGAGGGCCAGUGGGGGAGCAGAAGAUCCAGGCUUCCCCAAAAGCAAUAGAAGUGCUCUCAACCUGGUGACCCCAGUGGCAGCACCCACAGCUGCAGCAACAUUAGAGGCAGCAGGUGAUCAGCAACAUCGGAGACACAAGGAGGGCGCUGAUGAUGUCUCUGGCAGAGGCACUGGAGGGUGGAAAGUGCAGGCUCUCAAAUACAAGCAGAAGCAACUCAGAAUCAAAGUAAGAAAAGCCUUACCCCAGUGAGAACGGUGUUUGCCAUCACAAAUGCGCCAGCAGAGGAUCAACUCAUCGAGCGCCGUGAAGAACUACAGUAACGUGGGAGAACAGAAAGCAGGUGACAGCUCUCCAAAAACCAAACUUGAAGCCACAGAAGACUGCAAUCUAACUGACAGAGAAUUCAAAACAGAUGUCAUGAAGAAACUCAGCAAGUUAGAAGAAAACUCCGAAAGACAGUUAAUGAGCUCAGGAAUAAAAGUAACGAACAGACAGAGUACUUCACCAAAGAGAUUGAAACUAAAAAAAAGCCAAACAAAUUCUGGACGUGAAGACCACAAUGGGAUGGAAAAUAAAGGACAAAGCAUUGGAAAUAGAGCACAAAAUGUGGAAGAGAGAAUUAGAGGGGUCAAAGAUAGAAAUUUAGAAAUGAUUUAAGUGGAAGAGGAGAGAGAACUAAGAUUUUUUGAAAAUGAAGAAAUUUUAUGAAAAAUAUCCACCUCUAUUAGGAAAAGCAACAUAAGCAUAAUAGAUAUCCUGGAAGCAGAAGAGAGGGAGAAAGGAGCAGAGAGCUUAUUUAAGAAGUAAUAGCUGAGAACUUCCCCAACCUGCGCAAGGAACUGGAUAUACAAGUACAUGAAGCUAAUAGAACUCCUAAUUAUCUCAACAUAAAAAGACCUUCUCCAAGGCACAUUAUGUUAAAAAUGUCAAAAGUCAAUGACAUUACCAUAGGAGAAGAGGGUGGAGAGAGGGCAAAAGGGCACAUAUGUAUGGUGACAGAUAAAAUCUAUUGGUGGUGAACAUAACAAAGUCUAUACGGGAACUGAUAUACAAUAAUGUACAUCUGAAAUUUACUCAAGUUACAAGCCAAUAUGACUUCAACAAAAAGAAAAGAAUACAUACAACACCAAAAAAUAUCCAAUUUAAAAAUAUGGUCAGGGGCCGGCCCCGUGGCCGAGUGGUUGGGUUCACACACUCUGCUUCAGCGGCCCAGGGUUUCGGCUUCGAAUCCUGGGCGUAGAUAUGCUGCCGCUCAUCGGGCCAUGCUGAGGCAGCAUCCCACAUGCCACAACUAGAAGGACCUACAACUACAAAUACAUGACUGUGUACCAGGGGGCUUUGGGGAGAAAAAGGAAAAAUAAAAUCUUUAAAAAAAUGGUCAGAGGACUUGAGUAGACAUUUCUACAGAAAAGAUAUUCUGCAAAGAACUAUUUCUACAAGUAAACAAGGAACACAGGAGAAGAUGCUCACCAUCAUUAGCCAUGAGGGAAAUGCAAAAUAAAACAACAACGAUGCAUGUCAGCAAGACAGUGAGAUAGGAUGGCCCAGCACUCAUCGCCCACAGAAACCAUAAUUUAACCACCAUUCAUGGGCAAAAAUACCUUUAGGAAAGCUCUAGAAGCCAGGUGUGAGGUCUCAGCAUGCCGGUGGAGCAGAAAAUCUAACAACCACAUUGAGAAGGGCAGAAAGAACAGCUCCACCUGCGUCACCGUUCCCACAGGCUGGCUCAGCUCAGCUCAGAGAGACCCCUCCACCUGCGAUUUCU
This is a long non-coding RNA of Equus asinus (donkey), 5439 nucleotides long. NCBI's taxonomy places the organism in Eukaryota, Metazoa, Chordata, Mammalia, Perissodactyla, Equidae. The record is from Ensembl.